Molecule: ribosomal RNA, 332 nt
Filed under: uncultured bacterium
Lineage: Bacteria
Description: bacterial SSU rRNA
Rfam family: Bacterial small subunit ribosomal RNA
Source: RNAcentral
CGCGUAGGCGGUUCUUUAAGUCAGAUGUGUAAUCCCCGAGCUUAACUUGGGAACUGCAUCUGAGACUGGAAGGCUAGAGUACUGGAGAGGGUGGUGGAAUUCCUCGUGUAGCGGUGAAAUGCGUAGAGAUGAGGAGGAACACCAGUGGCGAAGGCGGCCACCUGGACAGUAACUGACGCUGAGGCGCGAAAGUGUGGGUAGCAAACAGGAUUAGAUACCCUGGUAGUCCACGCUGUAAACGAUGAACACUUGGUGUGGAGGGAGUUGACCCCUUCCGUGCCGGAGCUAACGCGUUAAGUGUUCCGCCUGGGGAGUACGGUCGCAAGGCUGAA